GUGGAAUGCAUCAGAGAUGGUUUUGGUGUGCACAUUCCAGAGGAUGUCAGCCUCCAGUUUCUAAUGGCUUGUGGCAAUAAGCUGGUGUCCCCUAAACUCCAGGAGGGCCAGGAGCUGAAUGGAAUGCUAAUCCAUAAGAUUUUUAAAACCAAAGGCCUGUAUGUGAGACCAUCAAGGACCAUUUUAACUGACUCAGAUGAAGAAAAUGAAUGUUCCAACAUCACUACCAGAUCAACAUUAAGCAGUUGUGCAACUGCUAAGGACCAGGAUGAUGACUGUUUGG
Molecule: long non-coding RNA, 283 nt
Organism: Pseudoliparis swirei
Lineage: Eukaryota; Metazoa; Chordata; Actinopteri; Perciformes; Liparidae
Exons: 3
Source: RefSeq, a predicted model, not a curated record